CAGCCGCCGCGGUAAUACCAGCACCUCGAGUGGUCAGGAGGUUUAUUGGGCCUAAAGCAUCCGUAGCCGGCUAUGCAAGUCUCCGGUUAAAUCCAGCUGCUCAACAGAUGGGCUGCCGGAGAUACUACACAGCUAGGGAGCGGGAGAGGUAGACGGUAUUCUGUGGGUAGGGGUAAAAUCCACUGAUCCAUAGAGGACCACCAGUGGCGAAGGCGGUCUACCAGAACGCGUUCGACGGUGAGGGAUGAAAGCUGGGGGAGCAAACCGGAUUAGAUACCCGGGUAGUCCCAGCUGUAAACGAUGCAAACUCGGUGAUGCAUUGGCUUAUGGCCAAUGCAGUGCCGCAGGGAAGCCGUUAAGUUUGCCGCCUGGGAAGUACGGACGCAAGUCUGAAACUUAAAGGAAUUGGCGGGGGAGCACA
RNAcentral lists this ribosomal RNA (421 nucleotides) under uncultured archaeon. Its description in RNAcentral is "bacterial SSU rRNA". It matches the Rfam family "Archaeal small subunit ribosomal RNA", at positions 459 to 880 of the family's 1478-position model. The record is from RNAcentral.